Molecule: ribosomal RNA, 253 nt
Filed under: uncultured bacterium
Lineage: Bacteria
Description: partial 16S ribosomal RNA
Rfam family: Bacterial small subunit ribosomal RNA
Source: RNAcentral
UACAGAGGGGGCAAGCGUUGUUCGGAAUUACUGGGCGUAAAGGGCGCGUAGGCGGACUGCUAAGUCGAACGUGAAAUCCCCGGGCUCAACCCGGGAACUGCGUCCGAUACUGGGGGGCUUGAAUCCGGGAGAGGGAUGUGGAAUUCCAGGUGUAGCGGUGAAAUGCGUAGAUAUCUGGAGGAACACCGGUGGCGAAGGCGGCAUCCUGGACCGGUAUUGACGCUGAGGCGCGAAAGCCAGGGGAGCAAACGGG